CGAGAGACAGCUCUAGAUUCGAGGGUUUCCAUUAUAGCCGAACGCGAGGGAAAGAUCAUUUCUACUGAUAGUCAUAAGAUACUUUUAUCAAGUAGUGGUCAGAGCUGGCAUAUGCCAAACAUGAAUACCACCUGA
RNAcentral lists this ribosomal RNA (135 nucleotides) under Triticum aestivum (bread wheat). RNAcentral describes it as "partial small subunit ribosomal RNA". The record is from RNAcentral. Lineage: Eukaryota; Viridiplantae; Streptophyta; Magnoliopsida; Poales; Poaceae.